This 534-nucleotide ribosomal RNA is filed under the name Dendronephthya hemprichi. RNAcentral describes it as "partial large subunit ribosomal RNA". It matches the Rfam family "Bacterial large subunit ribosomal RNA", at positions 1845 to 2489 of the family's 2925-position model. Lineage: Eukaryota; Metazoa; Cnidaria; Anthozoa; Malacalcyonacea; Nephtheidae. The record is from RNAcentral.
AUAGGGGGUGAAUUCUGCCCAAUGGUUGUACAGUGAAACUAAGUACUAACGUAUAAAGCGAAACCCAACUGAAUGGCCGCGGUAACUCUGACCGUGAUAAUGUAGCACAAUAAAUAGCCAAUUAAUUGUUGGCGGGUAUGAAUGGAACCACGAGGGUUUUACUGUCUCAAGAGGAAAGCCGAUGAAAUUAUAGUUGUAGUGAAGAUACUACAUAGACAUUGUAAGACGAAAAGACCCUAUCGAGCUUUACUGGAUACCGAUAGCGUUAACUCAAAAUGAUCGAUACUAAGUAUUCUAAUUUUGAGUUAAUAAUUUUUGUUGGUGGGACAGUUUAGUUGGGGCGACUGCCUUUGAAUAAGAAACGAAGGCGAGCUUAUGGUAUACAAAGCUAAUCUCAUUAGCCUGACAGUGAGGGGGACACCCCUAGCUGGCACAAGGACUACAUCCUAUGUGGGCGAUAAUGACCCGAUAUAAUUGUCCAAAAUAAAUAUCGAAAGCGAAUAAAAGCUACCGUAGGGAUAACAGCGUAAUAUU